RNAcentral lists this ribosomal RNA (681 nucleotides) under Triticum aestivum (bread wheat). RNAcentral describes it as "partial small subunit ribosomal RNA". The record is from RNAcentral. Lineage: Eukaryota; Viridiplantae; Streptophyta; Magnoliopsida; Poales; Poaceae.
AUGCAUGUAUCAGUCUCCAAUUUGUCACUCAUGAUUAUCCAUAUCCAAAACCAGAUGGAGUUGUACACAGCAGAACAGAGUGGACGAAAGGCUCACUCUAUCUACGAGCUAGCUAAUUGGCCAAGCCGGAUCCCAGAAUUGGGUCUGAAACUCCAAUUGUUGCUGGAAUUUUUUACUAUCUACUUUAUCUUGCUAUGGCAUGUCGACGUUGGUUGGUUUGUCUACUGGUGGUUGUCGCCGGAGCGGUCGCCGGCCAUGGACACAGCGGAGAGCCGGCUCGGCCGGGGGCGGGACCCGCCCACGCGCCUCCGGUGCUGCAGCGACUGCUGCGCCGCGGGGGACGGCGCGAGCGCCCUGCGUGCCCAGUGCCCGCUCUCCAUGGGGACGAGCCGCACCAGCGCGCUGCCCGUCUGCUUCGAGCCGGCGCUGCCGAUGGACGGCGGGGAGCCGGGCUUGCUGUUGUUGCAAGAUGGAGCCGCCUGCUUGCGCUCCUCCUUGUGGAGGCCGCACCGGAACGAGCCCGGGUGGUUCGUCGGGGAGCACAUGCAGGACCGACGGCUCUUGCUGGCGGCGGCGCCGGCAGGGGCAGAGGAGGAGGACGAGACGCUGACGGACUUGCCCGGCGAGCGUGUGGCGCCACCGGCGGGGAGCUUGACGCGGGUGGGCGAGGCGGAGCGGUAG